RNAcentral lists this non-coding RNA (21 nucleotides) under Caenorhabditis elegans. Lineage: Eukaryota; Metazoa; Nematoda; Chromadorea; Rhabditida; Rhabditidae. The record is from RNAcentral.
UCAAUGACUUUCAAAUGUUGU